RNAcentral lists this ribosomal RNA (335 nucleotides) under uncultured Alteromonadales bacterium. Its description in RNAcentral is "SSU rRNA". It matches the Rfam family "Bacterial small subunit ribosomal RNA", at positions 30 to 367 of the family's 1533-position model. Lineage: Bacteria; Pseudomonadati; Pseudomonadota; Gammaproteobacteria; Alteromonadales. The record is from RNAcentral.
UUGAACGCUGGCGGCAGGCCUAACACAUGCAAGUCGAACGGUAACAGAACUAGCUUACUAGUUGCUGACGAGUGGCGGACGGGUGAGUAAUACUUAGGGAUCUGCCUCUGUGUGGGGGAUAACUAUUGGAAACGAUAGCUAAUACCGCAUAACGUCUCCGGACCAAAGAGGGCUUUUAGCUCUCGCGCAGAGAGGAACCUAAGCGAGAUUAGCUUGUUGGUGAGGUAAAGGCUCACCAAGGCGACGAUCUCUAGCUGUUCUGAGAGGAUGAUCAGCCACACUGGGACUGAGACACGGCCCAGACUCCUACGGGAGGCAGCAGUGGGGAAUAUUGG